CAAGUCGAACGCGAAAGCCCUUUCGGGGGUAAGUAGAGUGGCGUCCGGGUGAGUAACACGUGGGUAAUCUGCCUUCGGGUGGGGAAUAACCCAGGGAAACUUGGGCUAAUACCGCAUAAUGCAGCGGCACCUAAUGGUGAUUAGUUGUUAAAGCGGGGGAUCGCAAGACCUCGCGCCUGAAGAGGAGCCUGCGGCAGAUUAGCUAGUUGGUGAGGUAAUGGCUCACCAAGGCUGCGAUCUGUAGCUGGUCUGAGAGGACGGCCAGCCACACUGGCACUGACACACGGGCCAGACUCCUACGGGAGGCAGCAGUGGGGAAUUUUGGGCAAUGGGCGCAAGCCUGACCCAGCAACGCCGCGUGAGGGAGGAAAUCCUUCGGGAUGUAAACCUCACAAGCAAGGGAAGAGAGUCAUGGGCUGAAUAAUCCCAUGGUGCGACGGUACCUUGCGUAAGCCACGGCUAACUACGUGCCAGCAGCCGCGGUAAUACGUAGGUGGCAAGCGUUGUUCGGAAUUAUUGGGCGUAAAGGGCGCGUAGGCGGUUUGUUAAGUCGGCUGUGAAAGCCCGGGGCUCAACCCCAGAGGGUCAGCCGAUACUGGCAGGCUAGAGUACGGAAGAGGUAGCUGGAAUUCCCGGUGUAGCGGUGAAAUGCGUAGAUAUCGGGAGGAACACCUGAGGCGAAGGCGGGCUACUGGGCCGAUACUGACGCUGAUGUGCGAAAGCCAGGGGAGCGAAUGGGAUUAGAUACCCCGGUAGUCCUGGCCCUAAACGAUGGACACUUGGUGUGUCGGGUAUUCCAGUCCCGAUGUGCCGGAGCUAACGCGUUAAGUGUCCCGCCUGGG
This 842-nucleotide ribosomal RNA is filed under the name uncultured Actinomycetes bacterium. Its description in RNAcentral is "bacterial SSU rRNA". It matches the Rfam family "Bacterial small subunit ribosomal RNA", at positions 58 to 877 of the family's 1533-position model. The record is from RNAcentral. Lineage: Bacteria; Bacillati; Actinomycetota; Actinomycetes.